UCUAGACAGUGCUAGUUUGAUCUUGACGUGGUGAAUAUCGUGACAUUUUUUUUUAAGAGUUCAGAUAAUGAAAAUGAGAAUGAUUACAAUAUCAAUGCCAGCAUGAACCAGACGUCACGGUUAUUUGGAAAGCUAAGAGAUUGUGUUAUUUUAAUGGCAGCUGGAUAAGGGAGGUAAAUCAUCAAAAAGGGCAUACUGCACCAAAUGGAGAGAAGAAUUUGGGAGUGAGCAUGGUGGACAAAGGAAUGUAAAAGAUGAUUCUCACAGGACCUCAAGGAAACAGGCAAGUAAUUCUAAAUUAAUCAAAAGAGGUUUUUGGGUUUUUUUUUUUUUUUUGGUCUCCCCCAAAGACCUCAAUUCUCAAUUGAAAAUAGUGGCUGCUUGGGGCACCUGGGUGGCUCAGUCGGUUGAGCAUCCAACUCGUGGUUUCAGCUUAGGUCAUGAUCCCAGGGUUGUGGGAUGGAGCCCUGGAUCAGGCUCCGAGCUGAGUGUGGAGCCUGCUUGGGAUUCUCUCUUUCUCUCCCUCUGCCCCCUCUCCCCCUCAAAUUAAAAAAAAAAAAAAUAGUGGCUGCUGAAUUAGCAUGGGCGUACCAUAUGAAUGAAUAUAUUGCUCCUUUGAUUGUUCUAUGACACCGAGUAAAGUUACAUUUCCUCAUUCAGAGGCUGUACCUGAAAUAUCCUGUGGGUGAACCACAGAUAAAAUUUUGAUAACAGAUGUGUUGCCCCUUUACAGGGCAACAAUCAUGCUUUCCAUAGUAUACAGAGGACUGAGUCCAACCAUGGCAAUAAAGAAAGGUUCUCCUACCUCUUAAGCACUUUGAUUUGAAAAGUGGAGUUUCAAAUGGUCUUUUUGAUUUCCAGGAAGAUUUUAAUGAAACUUCAGGAAAAAAAUUUUAAAUGUUGAUGAUAUACAAAGGAAGCACUGCUUCCCUGCACAUUUGACAGACGGUGCGAAUGUCAAUUUUUGCAAAUUCUGUUCAGGCUAUGAACCAUUACCAAAGAAAAUGAAAAGGUCUUACCUGCCGAAUGUCCUGCACACAUGGGUAAUGGAGUGUGGUUUGCUUCCUGUGAUAUUGAGGCUUUCCCAAUGAAAGGUUUGGUUAUUUCUCAGUUUCUUCAAAAUAUGCAAAAGCACUUAAUGAGCUAUUUGAUGUUCUAGAAGUGGAAGGAGAUGGUCUCCUUUACACAUAUGUGCCUAUGAGAGGGCUGUCAUCGCCACCAGUCAUGGAAGAGAUCUUAAAAAGUUAGGCUACCAUCAAAUCAUAUUUUCAAAGUGUAGGACAAGAAGAAUGUCCUCUAAUUUGAAAACAUAUUGAGAAUGAGAAUGGAGAAAAGGAUUGCAUUCAAGUGGAAAUUUACAAAUGGUUCUUUCCAAAACUGAUGAUCUUUGAAGAGGCCAGAAGGAUCCUGAAAAAGGAUGAACUGACAGCACCUGAGGUGUUCAAUGUUCUGUGCAGGAAAUAACAAAAACUCAUGUAAUAAAAAAUGACUCAGAUUUGGGGAAGUAAAACAAAAUGUCACUGGAAGAGGACAACCAAUUUAAACAGGACUUUCUCACUUCUUUACUAAGACUGGAAUUUGUAAUCCAACUUUAAUAUCAUAAGCUCAAAUAUCUCUGCUUUAAAACCAUUUUCACACACAGAGAAGGAGAGAGAGAUUACAAAAUUACAUUUUGUAAUUGUAUGACACGCAGGGUGCUUCAAAAUGUUUCAAAAGGAUGCAACUUUAGGUGUUGAAUUUAUUGAUGCAAAGGGGCUGACAGAACAGCUGGUCUACAAAACCAGCCUACAGAUACAAAGAGGAUGGGCAUUUUUGGAGAGCUGGAAGCUAAUCCCUACAAGUCUAAAAACCUGCUGUUGUUAGUAAGAUCUAAAGUAUUCCGUGCUCAAAUGAUUUCGUUGAGAGGAUCGGUACCUUGAUGCCAUCACACUGGACUGACAGCACGCAUUAGUGUAAUGUGGGCUUAAUAAACGCAGCACUACAAGUCAAAGCAUAUGAUGUUUGGCCAUACCUAGUUAGACCACUACAUAAAAGAAGGGUUUCCUAAAGGCUGCGGCAAGAAAACAGAAAGAGGUAAAAAUAUCCACUGCAUCAUAGGACAGAAAUAUCAUUGCUAUUUUUAGUUAAAUAUUGGUAAUAUGUUUAAUUAGUCCUACUGUACUUACAUUCUCCUCUUAAAAAGUCUUACAUGUAUGUAUCUUUUUUUUUAAUACUUUAUUUUUGUCGAGUAGUUUUAGGUUCAUAGCAAAAUUGAAGGGAAAGUACAGAGAUUUCCCAUAUACCCCCCCCAACUCUCCACCCCCACUGCAUAGCCUUCCUGCCCCCCCCAUCACCAUCUCCACCAGAGUGUACAUUUUGUUAAACUAACGAACCUACCUUAACACAUCAUAAUCAGCCAAAGUCCUUAGUUUACAUUUGUGUUUCCUCUUGAUGUGGUACAUUCUAGGGGUUUGGACAAAUGCAUAAUGACAUGUGUCCAUCGUUAUAGUAUCACACAUGGUAUUUCCACUGCCUGAAAAUCAUCUCUGCUUCAUCUAUUUCUCCCUGCCCCGCCCCCCACCCCACCCCCAACUCCUGGCAGGGGUUUUUCACUGUCUCCGUACUUCUGCCUUUUGUAAAUUAUCAUAGAAGAAUGCCAUGGAAUCAUACCAUAUGCAGCCUUUUACAUGUAUGUAUCUUAAUACAAAUUUUAAGUAUCCAAUAAUGAGUUAAAAUAAAUUGCUGUAUCAGAGAAUAAAAACAUCAUAUAACUAUUUUUGUAUUUCUCACAAAGUAGUCCUACUAUUAAUUGCCAUUAAUAAUCCUAUUGUUCUGUCUAAAUAAUAGCAUUUAUGUAACACAAAAGUAAAUAAUAUAGGAUAUAUCAUUUCCAGUAAAUACCGAUUUUUCAUAUUUCAUAUUUAUGAUUCUAAUAAAUGAUUUCAAAUAAGCGAUUUUUCAUAUUUUUAUGUUAAAGUAAUACAUACACACGUAUAAUUAUUUUUUACAGAUUAUCACGGGUUGAGGAGUCGGGUACGGCUGGGCCCCAACCUGGCUCUCUAAAACUGUUCACGCGAACACACGUCCCACCUCCUCCUCGCCUGAGUUCCGUUUAACGCUAGGGAUGCAGAGCCUACUAAGACCCGGCCGCCAUCCCCAAGAGGCUCACAGUGGCGAGGAAGCCAGACCCAUAACAGGCCGGCCGAGAGCCAGGCCGAAGGUGCCAGGACGGAGGUGGCCCAGGUAACUCGGCCCCAAAGAGGUC
RNAcentral lists this long non-coding RNA (3244 nucleotides) under Lynx pardinus (Iberian lynx). The record is from RNAcentral. Lineage: Eukaryota; Metazoa; Chordata; Mammalia; Carnivora; Felidae.